Molecule: long non-coding RNA, 385 nt
Organism: Stomoxys calcitrans (stable fly)
Lineage: Eukaryota; Metazoa; Arthropoda; Insecta; Diptera; Muscidae
Exons: 3
Source: RefSeq, a predicted model, not a curated record
GUUCCAUUUAGCGUUCUUCUGGGCUUACGACUACAAUGGUAAUGAUAACGUCGAGCUGCGAAAGGGGCAUUAGAGGAAAGCUAUUCGAAAAUGGUAAAUGGUACGGAAGGAACUCGACAUAUGAUGGACAAUGGCUUAGCACACCAACUGCGGAGCAAAGACAGCACAAAGGAGUCUCCUUAUCGCUCCACAAGUAUGGUGAGGGGAUAUCGAAUGUCAAAGCUGUCACUGUCAAAGGGAGAAAUUCUUUUGUGCGCCCAAGAAGUGAGUGUUUGCUUAGAUAAUUACGUGUUAACGAGCAAAUCUCGUUGGAUUAUAAAAGAACACCUUGUGAAUAAACAAAGAGGUUGAAAAAAAAAAAAAAAACAAACAGGUAAUGUUUGCA